Molecule: ribosomal RNA, 378 nt
Filed under: uncultured bacterium
Lineage: Bacteria
Description: bacterial SSU rRNA
Rfam family: Bacterial small subunit ribosomal RNA
Source: RNAcentral
UAAGACGAACCGUGCGAACGUUAUUCGGAAUCACUGGGCUUAAAGCGCGUGUAGGCGGGAGGGCACGUCCGUCGCUGAAAUCCCCCGGCUCAACCGGGGAACGGGCGCGGAUACGACCUUCCUUGAGGGGCGUAGGGGGACCUGGAACUUCCGGUGGAGCGGUGAAAUGCGUUGAGAUCGGAAGGAACGCCCGUGGCGAAAGCGAGGUCCUGGACGCCUACUGACGCUGAGACGCGAAAGCCAGGGGAGCGAACGGGAUUAGAUACCCCGGUAGUCCUGGCCGUAAACGAUGGGCACUGGGUAGGGGGCUCGCCGAUGGGCUCCCUGCCGAAGGGAAACCGUGAAGUGCCCCGCCUGGGGAGUAUGGUCGCAAGGCUG